Molecule: ribosomal RNA, 468 nt
Filed under: uncultured bacterium
Lineage: Bacteria
Description: partial 16S ribosomal RNA
Rfam family: Bacterial small subunit ribosomal RNA
Source: RNAcentral
GACGAACGCUGGCGGCGUGCUUAACACAUGCAAGUCGAACGGAAAGGCCCUGCUUUUGUGGGGUGCUCGAGUGGCGAACGGGUGAGUAACACGUGAGUAACCUGCCCUUGACUUUGGGAUAACUUCAGGAAACUGGGGCUAAUACCGGAUAGGAGCUCCUGCUGCAUGGUGGGGGUUGGAAAGUUUCGGCGGUUGGGGAUGGACUCGCGGCUUAUCAGCUUGUUGGUGGGGUAGUGGCUUACCAAGGCUUUGACGGGUAGCCGGCCUGAGAGGGUGACCGGCCACAUUGGGACUGAGAUACGGCCCAGACUCCUACGGGAGGCAGCAGUGGGGAAUAUUGCACAAUGGGCGGAAGCCUGAUGAAGCAACGCCGCGUGCGGGAUGACGGCCUUCGGCUUGUAAACCGCUUUCGCCUGUGACGAAGCGUGAGUGACGGUAAUGGGUAAAGAAGCACCGGCUAACUACGUG